AAAAAAAAAAAUGAAUCCUAUAAAAAGACCACAAAAUAUGUGGAGCAAACGAGAAGAAAAACAAAGAAACUCCUUUGAUUCUUGAAGAUAUACAGCAGUAAACAAGAAAAUUAAAGUGGCUAUAUUUGAAAAGCCAUUGUUACAAGAAAAUUAAGAAGCCAAGAAACAGGUUGUUUUCUGCUUGAGUUAGGAAAAGUUGGUUUGCUUUAUUUGUGGACUUUUUAUAAUUUUUUUUUACAUAAGAGGAAGUGGGUAUUUCUUGAAAGUGGAUAUAGACUUUAGUGGGAAUCUACUAAGAGUAAAUUUUUUUUUUUUUUUUAUAAAUUAAGGAGAGGAGGGAAGGAAACAGAAAACAGAAAGUAAGACAAAAACCUUGGAAUUGUUUUAGAAAACCAAGGUUUUCCUGUUCAAAAUGUCUGUUGCCUUGUUAUGGGUUGUUUCACCUUGUGAGGUCUCAAAUGGGACAGGAUUCUUGGAUUCAAUCCGGGAGGGAAACCGGGUUUUUGAUUCGUCGAGGUAUAGGAAUUUAGUGUGCAAUGAGAGAAUCAAGAAAGGUGUGAAACAAAGGUGGAAUUUUGGUUCUGUAAGGUCUGCUAUGGUGGCUACACCGGCUGGAGAAAUAGCGACGAUGACAUCAGAACAGAAGGUUUAUGAUGUGGUUUUAAAACAAGCAGCUUUAGUGAAGAGGCAGCUGAGAUCUACUGAUGAUUUAGAAGUGAAGCCGGAGAUCCCUCUCCCGAGGAAUUUGAGCUUGUUGAGUGAAGCAUAUGAUAGGUGUAGUGAAGUAUGUGCAGAGUAUGCAAAGACAUUUUACUUAGGAACUAUGCUAAUGACUCCAGAGAGAAGAAGGGCUAUUUGGGCAAUAUAUGUAUGGUGCAGGAGAACAGACGAACUUGUUGAUGGCCCGAACGCAUCACAUAUUACACCCCAAGCCUUAGAUAGGUGGGAAGACCGGCUUGAAGAUGUUUUCAGUGGGCGGCCAUUUGACAUGCUCGAUGCUGCUUUGUCCGAUACUGUUUCCAGGUUUCCAGUUGAUAUUCAGCCGUUCAGAGAUAUGAUUGAAGGAAUGCGUAUGGACUUGAGGAAGUCAAGAUAUAGAAACUUUGAUGAGCUAUACCUAUAUUGUUAUUACGUUGCUGGUACUGUUGGGUUGAUGAGUGUUCCAAUUAUGGGCAUCGCACCUGAAUCAAAGGCAACAACAGAGAGUGUAUAUAAUGCAGCUUUGGCUUUGGGUAUUGCGAAUCAACUAACCAACAUACUCAGAGAUGUCGGAGAAGAUGCUAGAAGAGGAAGAGUCUACUUACCUCAAGAUGAAUUAGCACAGGCAGGUCUCUCCGAUGAUGACAUAUUUGCCGGAAAAGUGACGGAUAAAUGGAGAAGCUUUAUGAAGAAGCAAAUCCAGAGGGCAAGAAAGUUCUUUGAUGAGGCAGAGGAAGGAGUGACACAACUGAGCUCAGCUAGUAGAUGGCCUGUAUGGGCAUCGUUGCUGUUGUACCGCCAAAUACUCGAUGAGAUUGAAGCCAAUGACUACAACAACUUCACAAAGAGAGCUUAUGUGAGCAAACCAAAGAAGCUAAUUUCCUUACCUAUUGCUUAUGCAAAAUCUCUUGUGCCCCCUACAAGAACUCUCGUCUCCUCUAGCUAAGGCAUCAAUAUCAGAUUUAAAUUAAAGCAAGAAAGCAUAUACUGUUAAAAAAGAAAGAAUUUAUAAAGUAGAUAAUUGUUGUAUUGAUGUCACUUGUAUAUCAUCAAAAGUAGAUUUUAAAAUCCAAUAUAACAAUUUCUAGUAAUUGUAUCUUCACAAUCUUAAACCCUUUGAGGGAAAUUCUUUUUGGUUCAUUGGAAAAAAAUUGUUGACUCCA
Molecule: RNA transcript, 1862 nt
Organism: Nicotiana attenuata
Lineage: Eukaryota; Viridiplantae; Streptophyta; Magnoliopsida; Solanales; Solanaceae
Gene name: phytoene synthase 2, chloroplastic-like
Exons: 7
Source: RefSeq, a predicted model, not a curated record